Molecule: ribosomal RNA, 854 nt
Filed under: Harknessia syzygii
Lineage: Eukaryota; Fungi; Ascomycota; Sordariomycetes; Diaporthales; Harknessiaceae
Description: eukaryotic LSU rRNA
Rfam family: Eukaryotic large subunit ribosomal RNA
Source: RNAcentral
CAACAGGGAUUGCCCUAGUAACGGCGAGUGAAGCGGCAACAGCUCAAAUUUGAAAUCUGGCCUCGGCCCGAGUUGUAAUUUGCAGAGGAUGUUUCUGGCGCGGUGCCUUCCGAGUUCCCUGGAACGGGACGCCACAGAGGGUGAGAGCCCCGUAUGGUUGGACACCAAGCCUGUGUGAAACUCCUUCGACGAGUCGAGUAGUUUGGGAAUGCUGCUCAAAAUGGGAGGUAAAUCUCUUCUAAAGCUAAAUACCGGCCAGAGACCGAUAGCGCACAAGUAGAGUGAUCGAAAGAUGAAAAGCACCUUGAAAAGGGGGUUAAACAGUACGUGAAAUUGUUGAAAGGGAAGCGCUCAUGACCAGACUUGUGCCGGGCGGUUCAUCCGGGGUUCUCCCCGGUGCACUCCGCCCGGCUCAGGCCAGCAUCGGUUCUCGUUGGGGGAUAAGAACGGCAGGAACGUGGCCCUCCCUCGGGAGGGUGUUAUAGCCUGCCGUACGAUACCCUGACCGGGGACCGAGGUUCGCGCUCCGCAAGGAUGCUGGCGUAAUGGUCAUCAGCGACCCGUCUUGAAACACGGACCAAGGAGUCGUCCAUUAGAGCGAGCGUUUGGGUGUAAAACCCGCCCGCGUAAUGAAAGUGAAAUUAGGUGAGAGCUUCGGCGCAUCAUCGACCGAUCCUGAUGUUCUCGGAUGGAUUUGAGUAAGAGUUUUAACGGACGGACCCGAAAGACAGUGAACUAUGCUUGUAUAGGGUGAAGCCAGAGGAAACUCUGGUGGAGGCUCGCAGCGGUUCUGACGUGCAAAUCGAUCGUCAAAUAUGAGCAUGGGGGCGAAAGACUAAUCGAACUGUCUAGUA